Molecule: long non-coding RNA, 767 nt
Organism: Xenia sp. Carnegie-2017
Lineage: Eukaryota; Metazoa; Cnidaria; Anthozoa; Malacalcyonacea; Xeniidae
Exons: 3
Source: RefSeq, a predicted model, not a curated record
ACGAUGCCUCUGUACGUCACUUAUAAAAGACCAUGAGUAUGAACCGCGGUGUUUCAUAACGUGAAGACAUUCAAGAUAUUAGUGACUUUUAAUUCUCGUUCAGAUUAUAAAGGAAGACAUGCUGCCAAAAUAUCUCUUCGUUUUGUUAGCAUUCGUGUCUCCAUUAGUUUCUACUGUGUCUGGUGACCAUCACACUGUCACGUGUCAUUCAUGUGACUACAACAGCACUCAACCAAAAGAACAUCAGAAAUGUGGCAAAGAAACCAUACCAUGCGAAUACUGUCAGAAAUCCGUAAAAAUAUUACAAAAUGAUGUUUCCAUUAUUUCGAUGGGUUGUGGCAAGAUAAAUGAAUGCCAAGAUGUAAACAAAGCGUGCAAUGAUUGGAAAAAGUCCACCAAUAAUAGUAAAGAUUGCCUUCUCACUUGUUGUCAAACUGAUCAUUGCAACAUGAACAACUCUGCAAUCGAUUCAAAAUCAACUCAUGUUGCUCUGCUGCUUGUCGUUUGCUUCAGUUUUCUGCUUUUUAAUUUCAUAAUUGAUAAUUGUCAUGAGUCAGGACCAUGAUUGGGGUUUGUUGAUCAAGUGAAAGUACUUAAGAAGAGAAAAUUUUGUUUUGUAAAUUCUAGUUUCAUUAAACAGAACUCUAAAAUGAUAGGAGACUUUUUAGUAUAAUUCGAGAGUAUCUCUUUUCAUUUUCAAGAUAUUAAAUUUGUAGAAUAAUCGUUUUGUUCAAUAAAUGUCGCUAUGUUGCAUGAAUCGCAAAAAA